RNAcentral lists this ribosomal RNA (524 nucleotides) under uncultured cyanobacterium. RNAcentral's name for it is "bacterial SSU rRNA". It matches the Rfam family "Bacterial small subunit ribosomal RNA", at positions 8 to 553 of the family's 1533-position model. The record is from RNAcentral. Lineage: Bacteria; Bacillati; Cyanobacteriota.
AGAGUUUGAUCAUGGCUCAGGAUGAUACGACUGGCGGUCUGCUUAAACAACAUGCAAGUCGAAACGGACCUCUUCGGAGUUAGUGGCGGACGGGUGAGUAAACGACGUGAGAAUCUACCUUCAGGACGGAGACAACAGUUGGAAACGACUGCUAACCCCCGAUGUACCGCAAGGGACAAAUAUUUAUAGACCUGAAGAAGAGACUCGCGUCCGAUUAGCUAGUUGGGGGGGUAAAAGACCCACCAAGGCGACGAUCGGUAGACUGGUCUGAGAGGACGAUCAGCCACAACUGGGACUGAGACACGGCCCAGACCUCCUACGGGAGGCAGCAGUGGGGAAUUUUCCCGCAAUGGGCGCAAGCCUGACGGAGACAAGACCCGCGUGGGGGAGGAAGGCUCUUGGGUUGUAAACCCCCUUUUCUCCUGGGAAGAACAAAAUGACGGUACCAGAGGAAUCAGGCAUCGGCUAACCUCCGUGCCAGCAGCCCGCGGUAAGACGGAGGAUGCAAGCGUUAUCCGGAAUGA